UUCCUACGGGGGGCAGCAGUGAGGAAUAUUGGUCAAUGGGCGGGAGCCUGAACCAGCCAAGCCGCGUGAGGGAAGAAGGUACAGCGUAUCGUAAACCUCUUUUGUCAGGGAACAAAGGCGGGGACUAGUCCCCGGAUGAGGGUACCUGAAGAAAAAGCAUCGGCUAACUCCGUGCCGGCAGCCGCGGUAAUACGUAGGGGGCGAGCGUUGUCCGGAAUCACUGGGCGUAAAGGGCGCGUAGGCGGUUUAAUAAGUCAGUGGUGAAAACUGAGGGCUCAACCCUCAGCCUGCCACUGAUACUGUUU
This 305-nucleotide ribosomal RNA is filed under the name uncultured bacterium. RNAcentral describes it as "bacterial SSU rRNA". It matches the Rfam family "Bacterial small subunit ribosomal RNA", at positions 336 to 638 of the family's 1533-position model. The record is from RNAcentral.